GCCUGCGUGAUGUCUUGACGCGAAGUGGUAUCAUGGCACCUUCCAAAGAAGGUCGAACCGCCAAGGAGGGCUUGACCUCUUCCCCAGACGGUUCUCGUAGCGCCAACCAAUGAGUGGGUGACGAGGAGGCUUCGACAGGCUUGCGGUUUCCAUACCCGAGGAAAAGAAGGCGGCGUUCCUGGACUGGCAGUUCCGCAAGGCCGAAGAUGGACGAAAGCAGGUUCAGGUGAACAACCAAAAUGUCUUUCCGAGAGAAGCUAUGAGGACACAAGUGACACUGAAAUGGCUGCUCGCCUGUGUGAACCCUCGUGUGCCUUUUUAUACGAAACAAGAGAGCAGUUUCAUACUCACAGGAGUUACAGCGGUGGCGGCAUCCAUGUUGCGACUUCUCACCAUCCUUACUUGCUGGAUGUGUGGACCAUCCCGGCCCUGCACAAAGAAAAUCAGACAGUGUGGUACAUCUGGCCAGUUUCCUGGAAAAACCAUCUCUGAAUUGACCGUUAUAUAAACAUUUCUGAGUUGAACGCCACCAUAGAAGCACUGCCAAAACAUUACGUGACUUAAUGUGGAAUGAGAAAAGCUCACCGAUCAUAGUAAGUCUGACAUGAAUAAAAUUAAUAUUUAAAAUGUACCAUAA
This is a long non-coding RNA of Rhipicephalus microplus (southern cattle tick), 637 nucleotides long. The record is from RefSeq and is a predicted model, not a curated record. NCBI's taxonomy places the organism in Eukaryota, Metazoa, Arthropoda, Arachnida, Ixodida, Ixodidae.